Molecule: ribosomal RNA, 497 nt
Filed under: uncultured bacterium
Lineage: Bacteria
Description: partial 16S ribosomal RNA
Rfam family: Bacterial small subunit ribosomal RNA
Source: RNAcentral
AUUGAACGCUGGCGGCAUGCCUUACACAUGCAAGUCGAACGGUAACAGGUCUUCGGAUGCUGACGAGUGGCGAGCGGGUGAGUAAUACAUCGGAACGUGCCUAGUAGUGGGGGAUAACUACUCGAAAGAGUGGCUAAUACCGCAUGAGAUCUACGGAUGAAAGCAGGGGAUCGCAAGACCUUGUGCUACUAGAGCGGCCGAUGGCAGAUUAGGUAGUUGGUGGGAUAAAGCUUACCAAGCCGACGAUCUGUAGCUGGUCUGAGAGGAAGAUCAGCCACACUGGGACUGAGACACGGCCCAGACUCCUACGGGAGGCAGCAGUGGGGAAUCUUGGACAAUGGGCGAAAGCCUGAUCCAGCAAUGCCGCGUGCAGGAUGAAGGCCUUCGGGUUGUAAACUGCUUUUGUACGGAACGAAAAGCCCCGGGUUAAUACCCUGGGGUCAUGACGGUACCGUAAGAAUAAGCACCGGCUAACUACGUGCCAGCCGCCGCCGUAA